UGAAGAAGGAGCUUUGAAGAAAAAGAGAGUAUAUGAUUGGAGGAAAAGUCUCACAACCUGAGACUGUGUACACUCUGAGUGAAGACUGAGAUUGCUAUCAUUUGUAACUAUAUGAUGGCUUCCUAUAUAGAAGUCAUUCAUCAUCAUCAUCAUUAUCAAAAUAGCUAACAUUUAUUUGUUUUAUAUCUUGCAGAGAACUCUCCCAACUGGAUUCUCGGCAUCCCACUCCAGUACUCUUGCCAGGAAAAUCCCAUGGAUGGAGGAGCUUGAAAUUCUGAAGACUGAAGGAAGGAGAAUGAGCACAAACUCUAGGAUCCAAUUCUUUGGCUACAAAACUUUUCCAACACCAAAAGGAAUUACAGGAGAUAAUAAAUCCCUCCACAGGAUCAGAAGCUCAGGGCCUCCCUUUUCCAAAGGAGACAGCCCUCAAGAAGACUUUGAAUGAUAAGGAGCCAGG
Molecule: long non-coding RNA, 457 nt
Filed under: Capra hircus (goat)
Lineage: Eukaryota; Metazoa; Chordata; Mammalia; Artiodactyla; Bovidae
Description: lncRNA (ENSCHIG00000007376.1)
Source: RNAcentral